Papaver somniferum (opium poppy) is the source of this 1324-nucleotide long non-coding RNA. RefSeq lists it as uncharacterized. The transcript has 2 exons. NCBI's taxonomy places the organism in Eukaryota, Viridiplantae, Streptophyta, Magnoliopsida, Ranunculales, Papaveraceae. The record is from RefSeq and is a predicted model, not a curated record.
AAGGAGAAAUUCUAUUAAUCUGUGUAGCAUAGACGAACAUUAGGGUUUUUUCUCCAAGCGAUUUUCUAGGGUGUUUUCUUGUCAGUGAUUUCUUCAAGUGAUUAGGGUACUUUCUCUCGGCCGAGAUCACACGUACUGAGUGAAAGAGCGAUGACGUGGUAUCGAUUUCUCAAAGAGAUUUUUUAGGUUUUAUUUUCUUCGUGCAUCCAUAGCGGCGGCGAGUUCUCAACCCCUCUUUAGUCUCAUCCUAUGAAUAAUAGUGAGAUUUCAUAAAAAAUUCCACCAACCAAUCAUGUUUUAAAGGAUUUCCCCCCUUUGAUUUCUUCUUCUGUUGGUGGUUCACCCAAUCGGAUGAGAAUUCCUAUCUCAGAUCUGCGUUAAUCUUUCAUGGGUAUGAUCUAUGUAAACUGUUUAAGCAACAACAAUUAAACACCCUCUAGAUCAAAGUUGUAUUUUGAUGAAGCAAAGAUGAUUGACGGAAAAUCAACUGCUUGUUUCACUUCAGGGAUUGCUUCUCAAAGAAAUACAUUUGUGAUUGAUAACGCUGGGGAGAAAGAAGAGGCGACUCAAAUUCGAGUUGAACAAAUCCCUUUGAUAGAUGAUUCGAUAGAUUCUCAGAUCAUAAACUCUAUCUAAGAUGGAAGAGUGUUAGAUGGUGCCUUGUUAUCUAAGGUGAAUGGUAUUGGGUCUCAAUCUUCAGCACUGAAAUUGACUUAUGCUAGAAAACAUAAUCAUUAAGCAAAACAGAGAAAAGUCAAUGCAAGUGGAUACUUGUUUUUUAAACGUCUUCGAUGUGUUGUUUCAAGAAGAUGAAAGUCCAAAUGAAGAAGUGGUUUCACGAGCCUAUUGCAACUAAAAAUGGUGAAAUUUCUGAAAUUGAUGUUGGGAAGGUAAUUGCAAGUGAAGUUUCAACUUAACCUAUUCCAGUCAGGAGGAGGAGUCUUUAAAGCUCCAGAAUGUGAUACAGUCAACAACGUGGUUGUUCAGAUGAAGAUAUGGAAGUAGAAAAUGUCAAACCUCUUGAUAUUAUUCCCCAUAGAACAUCAUUGACCAAUUCUCAACAAGUAGAAAAUAUUCGCAAGUUUGCUGCUCUUUUAGGAGCACCCAGUGGGUGUUUGAAAGAGGGAGCAAGAAAAAAAUUUGGUGAGUUAUUGAGAAAUAUCAGAAAACUAAUAAAGAGAGGGAAAUUGAGAAAUUAGGCUGGAAAAGUAAUCUUACUAAUGAACAGCUUGGAAGGGGCCAAAGGAGAAACUAUUUUAUUUUAUCGUCUGAUGAUAUUGUUGCUUUGUUAUCGUUUGAGCUUAACAUUUGGAUCUUUUUCACA